RNAcentral lists this long non-coding RNA (1741 nucleotides) under Helianthus annuus (common sunflower). Its description in RNAcentral is "hypothetical non coding rna". The record is from RNAcentral. Lineage: Eukaryota; Viridiplantae; Streptophyta; Magnoliopsida; Asterales; Asteraceae.
CCGGUCGGUCCCGUACGACUUCUACAAUGGUGGUUCUGAAGCCAGAAUUCAUUGUGCAAUCGAUUCCUUCUCACACACUUUUCAAACCCUAGGUUUAUUCACGCUAUCACAGCUCCGAUUAACCUUCACCGUUCCGAUCAUCUUCUCUGACGAAUGGAUACAUCUGCAUCUGCAACAUCUUCAUCAAACUCGCAUAUUAUUUUAUGAUGAUGAACUUAGGUAUUAUUCAUUUAUGAACCAUCUGAGACAGAACCAGGGGUUUAUCUUAAUCCAUAUGAAAAUGUGAUUUGUACCAAAUGUGUAUACCGGGUUUUGUUUUCUCUAGCCAAUUUGAUUUGAAAAUGUCGAGCUAUGAUGCGUAAGCUAAGAUGAAAGGCUAUGAUGGUUGCUUGAGCCUCUGUAGUUGGCUAAGAAACUCUGUAUAUGUGGUGCUUGAUGGAAUGCUUUAAAGUUGUGAUGAUCGUUGUAAUUUGAGGGGAAAUCGAAGAUCCAGGUAGCAUCUUGGCAGGGCAAGACCCAGAUGGCAUAGUUUCACUGGGCAACUGUGUGUUUGCAGCCAUGUUGUUACCAGGGUGUUAUAUGUGUUCAUCCCUCAAUUACAUGUCCGAGCUUUUUAAGGUUGUUUUGAUAAACCAGGGGUUGUGUUUUAGGGUACAUCGAGCAUCCGGGUAGCAUGUUGGUGAGGCAACAUCCAGAUGGCAUAGUGCUCACUUUGCAACUGUGUGUUUGCAGCGAUGGCGUAACCCGUUCUUAGAUGUGUUCAUCCCUCGAUUACAUAUCCGAGCUUUCAAGCGUUUCUUGGUCGUUGAUGGUCUUUGGUUCCAUUUGUUUCUCUUUGUUGUUGAUCUUGCUUGCUAUAGUCCUUGCUCUCUAGGAGUAAAGGUUUUUUCCGAUUAAUGAAGAGGUGGUCGCCUAACUAGAAAUCGAGUCAAAGCUGGUUAUUUUUUAUUCAAUUACUUCUACAAAUGAAUGCAUUGUAACACCGUGGGGUAUGGUGGGGUGUGGGUUGGGGGCAUGGUGCGACACGUAGAGUAUGGGGCACCCAAGACCAAAAGCCAAUUUCAAAAGGGGUAUGGUGGGGCGUGGUUGGGGUGACGUGGAAAAAAAACCAAUUUCAAAGGACUAGUGCUCUUGGCCAACGAGGUUCCGCCAUGUCAUGUUCGUAGCCCCGCCCAACGCCCGGGCUGAAACCCCCGUCCAAGGGGCCACGCCGAAACCCAAGCCCACCCGGGGUGGUGACGUGAGCGUUUGUACCCAACCCCCGCCCCAUACCCCAUAGUCUAACAUCUUCUACUGUAGGGGGAGUUGAAACUAAAGAAUUUUGAUAUAGUAAAAGUUGGACGUAGUGGCAGAGCACUUGUAAAGAGUUAUAUAUUGACAUGAAGUAAUGGGUCUCCCGUCGCAACGUGCGGGGGACAGUCGAAUUUGUAUUUUUUGGCUGUUUGAGUUGGUAUUUAGUUAAAGGUCCUUGAAGAUUUUAUUGUUGUAAUGUCGGCUCCGUUUAUGAUAGUUUUUGCUCCUUAAACAAAAGAAAAUAAACAAGGAGGUAUAGGAUUGAAGCCUGCAUUGUUUUGAGUUUAAACUUGGUUGAUUUGAAAAGGACUGUGAAGACAUCGUUUAUGAUGGGCUCAAUUUGUCACACCCCAACCAAUGACGGAAACAUCGGGAUGAGACGAAGUGUGAAGAUUGCAAGAGACUUCAUAACGCUAUUUGUGACAAUAUUUAAUAAAUCGAUUUCAUU